This 275-nucleotide ribosomal RNA is filed under the name uncultured bacterium. RNAcentral's name for it is "partial 16S ribosomal RNA". It matches the Rfam family "Bacterial small subunit ribosomal RNA", at positions 84 to 354 of the family's 1533-position model. The record is from RNAcentral.
CCUGCCGGCGACCGGCGCACGGGUGAGUAACACGUAUGCGACCUGCCCCCCGCAGGGGGAUAACCGGGAGAAAUCCCGACUAAGUACCGCGUAACGCCGCGGACCUGCAUGGGUCUGCGGCCAAAGGAAGCGAUUCCGGCGGGGGAUGGGCAUGCGGCGCAUUAGCUAGUCGGCGGGGUAACGGCCCACCGAGGCGACGAUGCGUAGGGGUUCUGAGAGGAAGGUCCCCCACACUGGUACUGAGACACGGACCAGACUCCUACGGGAGGCAGCAG